RNAcentral lists this transfer RNA (93 nucleotides) under Epipremnum aureum. RNAcentral's name for it is "tRNA-Ile". It matches the Rfam family "tRNA". From Rfam's summary of the family: Transfer RNA (tRNA) molecules are approximately 80 nucleotides in length. Lineage: Eukaryota; Viridiplantae; Streptophyta; Magnoliopsida; Alismatales; Araceae. The record is from RNAcentral.
AGGGCUAUAGCUCAGUUGGUAGAGCACCUCGGAUAAUAAAAAGUUUGAUCUGUUUUACCGAGAAGGUCUACGGUUCGAGUCCGUAUAGCCCUA